ACUCAACCGUCUCUCUCGAGCCUACAAAAAAAUUCCAGAAAAAAUUGACCAAUCAGAACAUUUAACCACGUCACUUAAGCAAUCGCUUUUUUCAUCUCGCUUCGUCUUCGUCUCCUUAAGCUAUCAGUUCCUUUUCCCCAAUACCUUUUUCAGUUACACAGAUUCUAUCAUAUCCUAUCUAUAAAUUGCAUCAUUUCACUUCGUCUUCUUCCAAACUUUGCUUCUCUCUCGCCUAAUUAUGGGGUUAGACUGGGAGAUAGAAUCAUUUUGAUGCUCUUUUUACUGCUGAAUCUCGUGCUCUGUCUGGAAAGUAAGGAUCCAUUCUGCAAAAGCAUCUCCAGUCAUGCACAUCACCGACCUUACUGUGAAUCAGGAGAAUUCCGGCUGUUGUGGAAUAUGUACUCAGUGGACAUCAGCUUCAUAUCCAAAAGUUAACAUGUACCGUUGCAUUUGCAAUCUCUGGUAUCAGAUUCCUAACCAUGGAGAACCUUUUUCAGAUGAAGCUAUAUAUCUAUGUAAUAAGACGCAAGAUCAUGCAGAGAGAUGUAGAGAUUGAAGUUGAAACCGUGGAUUGAAUCGGUAUGUUCCACAGAUCAAUGUGGGAGUUGAAGCACAUAUUCUUGAACAGGCAUAGAGAUAGGCUACAUAUGUCUUUAGUUAAAGAUUAUCCUCUGUUUUAAAGCGUUACUUGCUAAACGUUUUUUGAUCUUUUACAGAUGUGGGAGAAUUAUGUUUUUUUUUUUGAAAAGGGGCUUAAGAAUUAUGUUAAAGGACAAGAAGUAUCAAACCGGAAGUACAACCGUAGAAACCAGAAAAAAUGAGACAUUUGUGAAUAUCUCUUUAGCACUACUCAAAUAGUUUUUAUAUAUGAAUAUCUCAUUUUAGUUUUGUAAGGAAGACAUAAUAAACAGAGGGUCUGAAACAGAUGUUAUUACUUGCGUCCA
Brassica napus (rape) is the source of this 944-nucleotide long non-coding RNA. RefSeq lists it as uncharacterized. The record is from RefSeq and is a predicted model, not a curated record. Lineage: Eukaryota; Viridiplantae; Streptophyta; Magnoliopsida; Brassicales; Brassicaceae. The transcript is spliced from 3 exons.